RNAcentral lists this ribosomal RNA (506 nucleotides) under uncultured bacterium. RNAcentral describes it as "bacterial SSU rRNA". It matches the Rfam family "Bacterial small subunit ribosomal RNA", at positions 28 to 530 of the family's 1533-position model. The record is from RNAcentral.
GAUGAACGCUAGCGGGAGGCUUAACACAUGCAAGUCGAGGGGCAUCACGAGGUAGCAAUACUUUGGUGGCGACCGGCGCACGGGUGAGUAACACGUAUGCAACCUACCCUGUACAGGGGGAUAACCCGGAGAAAUUCGGACUAAUAUUCCAUAAUGAUAUUUUAGGGCAUCCUUUAAUAUUUAAAGCUUUGGCGGUACAGGAUGGGCAUGCGCAACAUUAGCUAGUUGGGAGGGUAACGGCCUACCAAGGCUAUGAUGUUUAGGGGACCUGAGAGGGUGAUCCCCCAACUGGUACUGAGACACGGACCAGACUCCUACGGGAGGCAGCAGUGAGGAAUAUUGGUCAAUGGGCGGAAGCCUGAACCAGCCAUCCGCGUGCAGGAAGACAGCCCUAUGGGUUGUAAACUGCUUUUCCAGUGGGCGAACCCUCGUACGUGUACGGGAUUGACGGUACACUGGGAAUAAGCAUCGGCUAACUCCGUGCCAGCAGCCGCGGUAAAAAGUGU